Molecule: RNase P RNA, 433 nt
Filed under: Methylobacterium aquaticum
Lineage: Bacteria; Pseudomonadati; Pseudomonadota; Alphaproteobacteria; Hyphomicrobiales; Methylobacteriaceae
Description: bacterial RNase P
Rfam family: Bacterial RNase P class A
About the family: Ribonuclease P (RNase P) is a ubiquitous endoribonuclease, found in archaea, bacteria and eukarya as well as chloroplasts and mitochondria. Its best characterised activity is the generation of mature 5'-ends of tRNAs by cleaving the 5'-leader elements of precursor-tRNAs.
Source: RNAcentral
UCAGCCGGCCGGGCGGCCGCUCCGGUCCCGUCGGCAGGUUCGCCUGCCGCGCGGGAUCCGGGGAGGAAAGUCCGGGCUCCAUGAAGAGACGGUGCCGGAUAACGUCCGGCGGGGGCGACCCCAGGGACAGUGUCACAGAGAGCAGACCACCGGGCGUGUCCUUGCGGACCCGUGCCGGCCAGGGUGAAAGGGUGCGGUAAGAGCGCACCGCGGACGCGGCAACGCGGACGGCACGGCAAACCCCACCGGGAGCAAAACCGAAUAGGGGCGGCACGCGCGAGGGAUCGCGCACGGCCUUCUUCAGGCCCGUCGCCCGGGUUGGUUGCUCGAGACGGCCGGCAACGGCCGUCCCAGAGGAAUGGCCGCCACGUCCGGAGGAUCCUUGCGGAUCCGCCGGGCCCUACAGAACCCGGCUUACAGGCCGGCUGAUACC